Molecule: ribosomal RNA, 530 nt
Filed under: Enterobacter sp.
Lineage: Bacteria; Pseudomonadati; Pseudomonadota; Gammaproteobacteria; Enterobacterales; Enterobacteriaceae
Description: bacterial SSU rRNA
Rfam family: Bacterial small subunit ribosomal RNA
Source: RNAcentral
GAAUAUUGCGCAGUGUACGCAAGCAUUAUGCAACCAUGCCGCGUGCAUGAAGAAGGCAUUCGGGUGGUAAAAUACUUUCAGCGGGGAGGAAGGUAGGGGGUUAAUAACCUCAGCAAUUUAGGUUACCCGCAGAAGAAGAACAGGAUAGGUCCGUGCCAGCAGCUCCGGUAAUACAGAGGGUGCAAGCGUUAAUCGGAAUUGAUAGGCGUAAAGCGCACACAGGCGGUCGGUCAAAUCAGAUAGAAAUCCCUGGGAUCAACCAGGGAAGAGCAUUCGAAAGUGGCAGGAUAGAGUGUUGUAGAGGGGGGUAGAAUGCCAGGUGAAGCGGUGAAAUGCGUAGAGAUCUGGAGGAAUCCCGGUCGAGAAGGCGGCCCCUUGGACAAAGACUGACGCUCCGGAGGGAAGGCAUGGGGAGGAGACAACAUUAGAAACCCCGGAGUACUCCCCGUAAACGAUGACGGUGUGGAGGUUUUGCCCUCAGGCGUGGGUGCCGAAGCGAACACCUAUAAGGUGGACCCCUCCUUUGGCGC